UACAGAGGUCCCAAGCGUUACUGAGAAUCACUGGGCUUAAAGGGCGCGUAGGCGGGCCGCCAAGUCUGUGGUGAAAUCCCCCGGCUCAACCGGGGAACGGCCGCGGAUACUGGAGGUCUCGAGGGAGGUAGGGGCAUGCGGAACUACGGGUGGAGCGGUGAAAUGCGUUGAUAUCCGUAGGAACUCCGGUGGCGAAGGCGGCGUGCUGGACCUCUUCUGACGCUGAGGCGCGAAAGCCAGGGGAGCGAACGGG
RNAcentral lists this ribosomal RNA (253 nucleotides) under uncultured bacterium. RNAcentral's name for it is "partial 16S ribosomal RNA". It matches the Rfam family "Bacterial small subunit ribosomal RNA", at positions 524 to 776 of the family's 1533-position model. The record is from RNAcentral.